This is a non-coding RNA of Cinara cedri, 201 nucleotides long. NCBI's taxonomy places the organism in Eukaryota, Metazoa, Arthropoda, Insecta, Hemiptera, Aphididae. The record is from the annotation of a GenBank genome assembly.
AAUAAUUCAAAACGGGCAAUCUCUUUAAAAAGAGACUAAAUUAUCACUCGAAUAGUUUAUACUCUUAUACCAUAAUAUAUAGAGUGAUGAGUAUAACGUAAGCCAGUCCUUAUUUCAAAAAGUAUUCACUUUUAGUUUUUUUAUUUUUCAUUGCAAAUUUAAGAACCCUGCACUCUUAAGUUUUGUAUUUUUUAUCACCCU